Molecule: unclassified non-coding RNA, 2199 nt
Filed under: Hevea brasiliensis (rubber tree)
Lineage: Eukaryota; Viridiplantae; Streptophyta; Magnoliopsida; Malpighiales; Euphorbiaceae
Source: RNAcentral
GAAAAAAAAAAAAGUCUUGCCUUCUCUUAAAGCUGCCCCUAAAAUGAUAUAAUGGAGAGACCCAUUUUCCUUCAUUCCAUUUUAUUUUCUUUCAAAAAAGAAAAAUGCAGAGAUCAUCUUGUUAUUUUAGAUGCUUUUUACAAUCUCAGCCGCUUUUUUUUUUUUACCCAUUUCAUCCUUUGUCCAUUAGAGCUUUAGGUGACAUCAUUAGUUCUACUGAAUCUCGUUCGAAGUCAAACAUCAUUUCCUUUCAUGCCACCGGCAAACUCAACAGCCACACAAACCCAUUUCGAUUCAAGCCCAUCUCCUUUGAUUCAGGUAGAAGUUUCACACCUCAAUCAGAGUUAUAAAACAUAUCAGACUUUCUGCAUCAUCACCUCAGCAUAAACUGCUAUGGGUAAAAUGUGAUUUGCCUAGUUAUUGUCUUCUCUUGAUUAAUUAAUGUUAGUGAUCUGAAACUUUAUAUUUUUUGUUGAUGAUUUGGUGUUUCAAAAUCACAUUUUGUUUCAAUCUAUAUUGAUUAUUGAUUUUUGGCUACUUGGAUAUGGAUUGGUAUUUUAUAAGUGAUGGUUUUCUUCCUCAAUAGUUCACUUGCUUUCUAUAAAUGUAAAAUUUGUUUAUCAUUUUCUUUAUCUCGUUUUAGUUCCCUUUGUGAAUUAAUUUUCCUUCUAAGUAUGCUGAUUUUGCAUUAUAAGUUAAUUAAGUUAAGAUAAGAUUCACGAGGGUUGAGUUCAACGCCCAUUUUGGAGAGUCCCUAAAAGGAGUCAGUAGGGUGAGUUUGAUACAUAGAAUCGAUCCUAAACAAUUUGGUAGUCAAUAUAACAAAUUUUAAUAAAAUAGGAUUCAAAAUAUGGUGUAGGAAUUAAGCUUUAUCAAGGAUUCACAUCUCCGGAUCUGUUUGAUUUCAAUUUAUCUGUAAGUCUGUUGAUUUUAAUUCUGUGAUUAUUACAUUCAAGGUCAGUUCUUAUGGCUAUCAUAUGAAAUAAGUUACUUUGGUGUUAGCUGUUGGUAAACAAAAGUCUAGGUUCUGCAGAAAUAUGAACAUAUCAUCACAUCCAGUCACCUUUUGGGGGAUUAAGCAGUAGCAUGAUUGCUUUUUUCUAACCUUGAUUAUGAAUGGGGUGUCCACAAAUACUAUUAGUCAUUUUUCUUUGUUAAGUUUUUUAUUUUCCUUAGUAUCUAAUGCUGAUAAAAUGGGUACUGCAAAUAAUAAUGUAUCACUGAACCUUGAGAAAAUUGCUCCUAAAAUGUGCAUAUUGCUAUUAUUGAUAGAAUCUAUUUGGGUAAAAUAGAUAAUAUGUCUGAUGCUCUACAACCUCUCACUUCCAUCUACUUAAGUCUCUUGCAGGGUUGUAUUUGUGUACUUGCCAUAGUCAAUACUGGAAUCUACUUUGGUGUUUUUCUCUGUAAAUCAUUUUCAUAUAUAUAUAUAUAUAUAGUGCUUAAAGGGGGAACCUCUUUAAAUUACUUAUAUGGGGGCAUGCCUUGAAUUAUCUAAAUAAAUGAAUCAAUAAAAAUUAAAUUAACAAGAUUAUUUAAAAAAAUAUAUAUCUUUUCAAAAGUGGUGAUAAAGGCACCCUUAAACUACUUAAAUAGGGGGAUGCCCCUCAAAAUUUCUUCUAGUUUAUGAAAAAUAUACUUUUUUUUAAAAAAAAUCUUUCUAUAAAAAUUUCAUUUUUUUAGUAGUUAAGGGGUACCCCUUAAACUACUUAAAUAAGUGGAUACCUCUUAAAAUUGUUAUUAAUUUAUUUAAGUAAAAAAAAAAAUUGUUUCUAUAAAAAUAUCUUUUUAUUAAUUAAGGUGAUACCCCUUAAACUACUUAAAUAGAGGGAUACCUCUCUAAAUUGUUAUUAAUUUAUUAAAAUUAUUUUAGUCAAAUAAAAAUUGUUUCUAUAAAAAUUUCUUUCUAGUGGUUUAAAGGGGUACCCCUUAAACUAAUUAAAUAGGGGAUACCCCUUUUAAUUGUUACCAAUUUAUUAAAAUUAUUUAAGAUAAGAUAAAAUUUUCCUAUAAAAUAUCUUUUUAGGAUUUAAAGGGCUAACCUUUAUAGUACUUAAAUAUGGGAUACCCCUUAAAUUAUUAGUAGUUUAUUAAAUUAUCAAAUAAAAUUUUUCUAUAAAAAUGUUUGCUUUUAGUAGUUAAAGGGGUAUCGCUUAAAUUACUUAAGUAGGGAUACCCCUCCAACUUUUUUUAAAUUGA